RNAcentral lists this transfer RNA (87 nucleotides) under Desulfovibrio sp. RNAcentral describes it as "tRNA-Leu". It matches the Rfam family "tRNA". From Rfam's summary of the family: Transfer RNA (tRNA) molecules are approximately 80 nucleotides in length. The record is from RNAcentral. Lineage: Bacteria; Pseudomonadati; Thermodesulfobacteriota; Desulfovibrionia; Desulfovibrionales; Desulfovibrionaceae.
GCCGGGAUGGUGGAAUUGGUAGACGCGACGGACUCAAAAUUCGUUGGGAGCAAUCUCGUGAGAGUUCAAGUCUCUCUCCCGGUACCA